RNAcentral lists this ribosomal RNA (253 nucleotides) under uncultured bacterium. RNAcentral's name for it is "partial 16S ribosomal RNA". It matches the Rfam family "Bacterial small subunit ribosomal RNA", at positions 524 to 776 of the family's 1533-position model. The record is from RNAcentral.
UACGAAGGGGGCUAGCGUUGCUCGGAAUCACUGGGCGUAAAGAGUGCGUAGGCGGGUUUUUAAGUCUGGGGUGAAAUCCUGGGGCUCAACUCCAGAACUGCCUUUGAUACUGAGGAUCUUGAGUUCGGGAGAGGUGAGUGGAACUGCGAGUGUAGAGGUGAAAUUCGUAGAUAUUCGCAAGAACACCAGUGGCGAAGGCGGCUCACUGGCCCGAUACUGACGCUGAGGCACGAAAGCGUGGGGAGCAAACAGG